AAUUUACUGGCUCAGUUGGUAGAGCAGGAGUUUCUUAAACUCAGGGUCGUGGGCUUGAGCCCCAUGUUAGGCA
Non-coding RNA from Podarcis lilfordi (Lilford's wall lizard), 73 nucleotides. The record is from the annotation of a GenBank genome assembly. NCBI's taxonomy places the organism in Eukaryota, Metazoa, Chordata, Lepidosauria, Squamata, Lacertidae.